GACAGAGGUGCCAAGCGUUAGGCGGAAUCACUGGGCUUAAAGCGUGUGUAGGCGGGCCCGUAAGUGUCUUGUGAAAUCCCACGGCUCAACCGUGGAACUGCUGGGCAUACAGCGGGUCUUGGGCCAACUAGGGGCAGCCGGAACAAGCGGUGGAGCGGUGAAAUGCGUAGAUAUCGCUUGGAACGCCGAAGAUGAAAACAGGCUGCUGGGGUUGCGCCGACGCUGAGACACGAAAGCCAGGGGAGCAAACGGG
This 253-nucleotide ribosomal RNA is filed under the name uncultured bacterium. RNAcentral describes it as "partial 16S ribosomal RNA". It matches the Rfam family "Bacterial small subunit ribosomal RNA", at positions 524 to 776 of the family's 1533-position model. The record is from RNAcentral.